RNAcentral lists this ribosomal RNA (406 nucleotides) under uncultured bacterium. RNAcentral describes it as "partial 16S ribosomal RNA". It matches the Rfam family "Bacterial small subunit ribosomal RNA", at positions 29 to 526 of the family's 1533-position model. The record is from RNAcentral.
AUUGAACGCUGGCGGCAGGCCUAACACAUGCAAGUCGAACGAGUGGCGGACGGGUGAGUAAUGUCUGGGAAACUGCCCGAUUGAGGGGGAUAACUACUGGAAACGGUAGCUAAUACCGCAUACCAUCGGAUGUGCCCAGAUGGGAUUAGCUAGUAGGUGGGGUAACGGCGCACCUAGGCGACGAUCCCUGGCUGGUCUGAGAGGCUGACAAGGCAAACUGGAACGGAGACACGGUCCAGACGCCUAGGGGAGGAAGCAGUGGGGAAUAUGGCACAAUGGGCGAAAGCGUGAUGCCGCCAUGCCGCGUGGAUGAAGAAGGGCUGCGGGUUGUAAAGUACUUUACGUGAGGAGGCGUUACUCGCAGAAGAAGCACCGGCUAACUCCGUGCCAGCAGCCGCGGUAAUUC